UGCGUAGGCGGAAAAUUAAGUCAGUGGUGAAAUCCUGCAGCUCAACUGUAGAACUGUCAUUGAUACUGAUUUUCUUGAAUUUAGUUGAGGUAGGCGGAAUGUGUAAUGUAGCGGUGAAAUGCUUAGAUAUUACACAGAACACCGAUUGCGAAGGCAGCUUACUAAGCUAACAUUGACGCUGAGGCACGAAAGCGUGGGGAGCGAACAGGAUUAGAUACCCUGGUAGUCC
RNAcentral lists this ribosomal RNA (229 nucleotides) under uncultured bacterium. Its description in RNAcentral is "partial 16S ribosomal RNA". It matches the Rfam family "Bacterial small subunit ribosomal RNA", at positions 568 to 796 of the family's 1533-position model. The record is from RNAcentral.